UAUUAGGCUGGUGCAAAAGUAAUUGUGGUUUUUGCCAUUAAAUAUAAUAGCAAAAACCGUAAUUACUUUUGCACCAACUUAAUA
This is a microRNA precursor of Pan troglodytes (chimpanzee), 84 nucleotides long. It matches the Rfam family "mir-548 microRNA precursor family". The record is from Rfam. NCBI's taxonomy places the organism in Eukaryota, Metazoa, Chordata, Mammalia, Primates, Hominidae.